RNAcentral lists this ribosomal RNA (253 nucleotides) under uncultured bacterium. RNAcentral's name for it is "partial 16S ribosomal RNA". It matches the Rfam family "Bacterial small subunit ribosomal RNA", at positions 524 to 776 of the family's 1533-position model. The record is from RNAcentral.
GACGUAGGGCGCGAGCGUUGUCCGGAUUUAUUGGGCGUAAAGAGCUCGUAGGCGGCUUGUUGCGUCGACUGUGAAAACCCGCGGCUUAACCGCGGGCUUGCAGUUGAUACGGGCAGGCUAGAGUUCGGUAGGGGAGACUGGAAUUCCUGGUGUAGCGGUGAAAUGCGCAGAUAUCAGGAGGAACACCGGUGGCGAAGGCGGGUCUCUGGGCCGGUACUGACGCUGAGACGCGAAAGCGUGGGGAGCGAACAGG